RNAcentral lists this long non-coding RNA (233 nucleotides) under Capsicum annuum. Its description in RNAcentral is "long non-coding RNA (CANN_LNC013013)". The record is from RNAcentral. Lineage: Eukaryota; Viridiplantae; Streptophyta; Magnoliopsida; Solanales; Solanaceae.
ACCAAGUCACAAAAGGCUGUCACGUGGUUAUUAUUUAAGUGAACACUUAUCCUUGCUGGUUGUCACUACCCAAAAAUGAGGGUCAUGAUGGCACUUGUCGCGGGGUACCUUGACAAGUAGGCCUAUCACCCAAACUGAUACAAAAAGAGAAAAAGACAGAAAUAACCCAAGGUAAGGCUUCUAGAAUAAAGUCGAACCAUAAUACUAAUCAUAACAAUGCGGAAAGAACUUAU